This 253-nucleotide ribosomal RNA is filed under the name uncultured bacterium. Its description in RNAcentral is "partial 16S ribosomal RNA". It matches the Rfam family "Bacterial small subunit ribosomal RNA", at positions 524 to 776 of the family's 1533-position model. The record is from RNAcentral.
UACGUAGGGUGCAAGCGUUGUCCGGAAUUACUGGGCGUAAAGGGCGCGUAGGCGGCUUGGUCAGUCCCGUGUGAAAUCCCUCGGCUCAACUGAGGAACUGCACGGGAAACUGCCUGGCUUGAGUUCGGGAGAGGGAAGCGGAAUUCCGGGUGUAGCGGUGAAAUGCGUAGAUAUCCGGAGGAACACCGGUGGCGAAGGCGGCUUCCUGGACCGACACUGACGCUGAGGCGCGAAAGCUAGGGGAGCAAACGGG